GCGGCUGUGGGAAAAUGAUAAAGGUGUUAUUUUCCAGCUCUGGAUCCCCCUUUUUUUGUGUUUUCUGCUGCUUCUAUUUAUAUUCAGUGCCUGGGGUUAGGUUUUCAGAGUCCUAGCAGCAUUAGAAGUCUCUUCUCUCUGUUAAAAUGUGGAGCUGGAGCUAAAUCAGGAAACUGGCUGUUGGCUGAUACACGGCCUGGGGCCGUGUAAUUCACUGGAGCUUCGAAGACUGCAUCUCAUAUUGGCACAAGAGAUUACAUGAGGUAUUGCUAGUUAUACAGGUCCAAGUACACGACCUGUGUUCUUUUGCUCUUCAGAGAAUUUUUCAAUCCGGGCCAGCCAGAGACUUACACGGGUCUCCAUGGUUUACACGGGUUGUAGUACACGGCUCGUAUAUUUCGUUUCUUCCUUGGCUCUUUAGUUUUCUCCUGGCAGUAUGUUACACGAGUCCGCGGCUUUGCUUACACGACCCGUGUAAAGUGUAUCAGCAACACUUUUCUUUCCUUUGGUCUUUCUAAGCUUUCUUUUGCACUCCUAUGCCUUGGAAUUUCAUCCAAACAACUGAAAUAAUGCAGAAAACAUGGAAUUUAGAGCUUAACAAUGGAAUUUAUAAAAGUUGAUGAAAUUAAUGAUUAUGCACGAGAUUACUUAUCUAAAUGCUGUGAAAUAAUAUACAAACGUGCUUAAAAACAUCUAUAUAAUACAAUUGUAUCAGAUAGCGAAGCCUCCUCUGCGCCCCCAUAGUUAGGGUAAUUCAUCUCGGAAAAAAGAAUCGAGAAACUGAAAACCCAUUUCAGUUGCUGCUCUCUUUUCUAAGCUUUGUUUGUGCGUCUAUUUCUUUAUCUGUUCUAAUUUUUGUUGAUUCUUUUCUCAUUUUAUCUUGACUGGGUCUUUUUUUCUUUUUAUUUUUCAUCUCUUUGCUCCAGCUGUUGCUGCAAGUACGAGCUGUUUUCAGAGGAAUUGAACCAAGCAAAUGGGAACCAGUAUUUGAAAGCUUUGAGCAAGUGGAUCCCUCAACAACUAGAUUGCUUGGAAGCACUGGUCUACUCUGUAUUGUUCAAACCUUGAUGGGUAGAGAAAUAAAAAGUUGUAAAGAAGAAUGGACUAGGAGCUCUAAUGUGGCUUUACUUUCUUCUUAGUACAACUGUUUAUGGUGCAGAACAGCAUUGCCGAGUAGAUUUUGUGAGGCUUAAUGUUGUGGUAAGAUUAACCUCUUUGGUAAUAAAGUCUUUCUUGACUAUACAUCAAGUCAGAUGGUAGAGAUGUCAAUAACUGUACAUUUCACAAAAGGAAUUGAGAAGAACAUCCAACCAUAUCGUAAAAUUUGACUGAGUUUGUUUCAAGAUAACCUUGAUUUUAGUUUGAAUUUGUGCACCGCCAAUCCUUGGGAAAAAAUGAUGCAGCCUUAGUGAACACAUGCCUGGGACAUGCACAACACAUAAUCAAACCCUUUCCCUUUUUGAUGUAAAUAUAAAAUAUAUACAUAGUCAAAUUGUGAAUGGUUGUUGUCAAUUCCACUUAUAAAAGUAAAUAUCAAAUGCUAAUGCAUUGACAUUUUGCACUUGUGAAUGCAGAUUCUGCUAGCACCAUACGGCUCUAUGGGUAGAGUUAUUAUGUCCCAAUGGUUGCAUAAAAUUGGAGUGCCUUAUUUUGGAGUAUCUGAGUGGAAUGAGUUGAAGUUCUUAAAGAACUCUUUUUACUCAAGAAGACACAAUAGUGCCUUUGAGGCUCUAUGUUCUCUGAAUGAAACAUAAAUUAAGAGAGUGUUGCAGUUAUGUGGGAUCUGAUAAAUUGAUGGUGGGUUUGAGAAUAGGGCAAUAGUGUGAAUGUUGUCAGUCACAGUGGUGGUGUGGUUUAAGAGGAGGGGGCUGAAAAAAAAAAAAAAAAAAAACCCAUCGAGACAAGAACCCAUAAAGCAAUGACAAACAGAAGCAUCUCAAAGGGAAACAGAUUGGCCCAGCAGCAAAAAUUGAGUGCAUUAAGAUUUUUUUUUUUUCCAGAAGUUACAAAGGUUUGCCUCCUAAAAUCUAAAUGCUGUUCUUUUCUCUUCUUGCUCGCUCAGGUGCUUGGUUGUUCACAACUGUAUUCUGCAUGCUUUUCUGAAGCGUGGCAUCAAUCCUGGUUCCUGGGGGAUUGAGAAGUUAGGAGUGUUGUUGAGCAAUAUUAUGGAAAGAAAUUUGAGCACUUCCAUUAGUUGCCGAAGUGGGGAUUUAAAAGUUACUUGGGAUGGCAUGAGCAGGUUUCUUCUAAAGAUUCCAUUAAUUUUGGAUCCGUUGCCUUAAAGCUUUGGAAUUAUUAAUCAAUGCACUGUGUGUUUUUCCUUCUCCUUUGUAGAUUGUUUAUCUUGCUUGGGUGCUCCAAAAGGUAAACUUAAAAUAUUUUAUAUAUAUUAGUGGUGUGUGUUCAGUUUUGUUUCUCUGUUCUUGGUUAGCUAUCCUUAAUCUUUUUAAAAUUUCAUGCAAUCUAAUUAAUCUAGAUAGAUUUCACUAGAUGUCUUCAAGAUUCCAUGCAAUCUAAGAAAGACUGACGGGCUAGUGAUGACAUUGUGGAUCUUUCAUUGGGUAUAGGUACUAAGUAUGAUUGGACAUACCAAGGAUUAAUUAUGAUAUUUGACUCUACAUUUAUAUCUAUGCUAAUAAAUCAAAUCAAUAUCAUCCAUCUAUUAUAAUUUAUGGCGUAAAGUUAAUGGAUAAAUAAAACACAUUUCCUAUAUAAAGAUUUUAUUGAGUUUCUUAUGCAAGAUAUAUAUCGUGUAUCUUCUUUCUUUUGUCAAAAUUUUAUAGUAAAAUGUCAUAGCCCAACAACAAAAUUGAGAUAAAUUAAUCAAAAUAGGAAAAUUAGCCAACACCCAUAUCCAUAGAUUGCAAUCAACAACAAACCAACAGCUGAAAUCACCAAAAGAAAGAAAACUAAGCCCAACGAUGCAAACACUCAAAUGUUGCGAACUAGAUAUUGGCUACAAAUUGAUCCAGCAGCAUGUUUUUACCUCUAUUCAAUUAUUUUUGAAUUCUUGAGUCCAUUUUUGACGGAUUAAUGAAUGAUUAUGGGUGUCUUGCUGUUUGUAGCUCUGUUGCAAAUCUCAAGCGUUUUGGCAAAGUGGUUCUACUAACUGCUUUUCAUUCUUUUAAGUGGUCUUUAGGCGCUCUGAAUCAGUGUAACUCGUUCUUUAAAUGUACACUACUUAAACCCAUUAUUUUACAAUUGCGGUUUUGGCAUUAUUAUUCAUAGUUUAAUAAGUGAGUUGAAUUAGUGUUAAUCAAUUGUAGAAAUCAAUUAUGGAGUUACUUUAAGUUCCUGCAUACUUUAGGGCUAUGUGUUUGUUUAAUAUUAAGUGGAAGUUAUAUGCUUCUCUUUAUGUGGGAGGACAAGCUUAGGAAGAAAAUUAGUUCAUCUUAUUUUAUUUUUGUUGUCUGAGAAGUCAUAAAAGGCCGAAAAUGCUCCGCCAAUAACUCCUUUGAUUUAUUUCUUGAAAACCCCACAUGGGGAUUGUUUAAAUGCUACUGAGAAAUUAUUUUAAGGUCUUUUAUUUUAAUAAUAUAUACAAUAUAUUAUUAUUUUAUUUUUGCAGUGUGAUAAGUCAAAAAAAUGCUGGAAAUGCUCCACCAAUGCUGGAAAUGCUCCACCAACUCAUUUGAUUGAUUUCCUGAAAACUUCAUAAAUUGAGUUGUCCAGAUAUCCUUCCUUUGGAAGAAGACGUAAAUUUCAUCUAUGAACAGCUUCACUAUCAACUGCGAAGAAGUGUUCGGGCUGGAAAUAUUAUUUCCUAAAGAAAUGAAUUUGGAGAUCCAUUCGUAACAAGAGGGCCUAGGCAUGGCUAAAAGUUUUUAUCUUUGAUUAAUCUGGACAUGCUUUGUGAGAGAAGUCAGAAAGCUUUGUCAUACUUCAGCAUAUUACGUGUUUUCUAUGUGAUUGUAUGCUCGAGUUAUUUAUUUUAUUGUCAUAAUUUGAGUGUUAUUCAUUUUGUGCUGAGGAUUGAAAAGCCUCAGGAUAGUAUUCAUUCUUUACUGCAUCAGGUUCAUGAAA
Molecule: long non-coding RNA, 4023 nt
Organism: Hevea brasiliensis (rubber tree)
Lineage: Eukaryota; Viridiplantae; Streptophyta; Magnoliopsida; Malpighiales; Euphorbiaceae
Exons: 5
Source: RefSeq, a predicted model, not a curated record